UACGGGGGGAGCAAGCGUUGUUCGGAAUUACUGGGCGUAAAGGGCUCGUAGGUGGCCAACUAAGUCAGACGUGAAAUCCCUCAGCUUAACUGGGGAACUGCGUCUGAUACUGGAUGGCUUGAGUUUGGGAGAGGGACGCGGAAUUCCAGGUGUAGCGGUGAAAUGCGUAGAUAUCUGGAGGAACACCGGUGGCGAAGGCGGCGUCCUGGACCAACACUGACACUGAUGAGCGAAAGCCAGGGGAGCAAACGGG
Molecule: ribosomal RNA, 253 nt
Filed under: uncultured bacterium
Lineage: Bacteria
Description: partial 16S ribosomal RNA
Rfam family: Bacterial small subunit ribosomal RNA
Source: RNAcentral